UACGUAGGGUGCGAGCGUUGUCCGGAAUUAUUGGGCGUAAAGGGCUCGUAGGCGGUUUGUCGCGUCGGGAGUGAAAUCCACUGGCUUAACUGGUGGCUUGCUUUCGAUACGGGCAGACUGGAGGUAUGCAGGGGAGAACGGAAUUCCUGGUGUAGCGGUGAAAUGCGCAGAUAUCAGGAGGAACACCGGUGGCGAAGGCGGUUCUCUGGGCAUGUCCUGACGCUGGGGAGCGAAAGUGUGGGGAGCGAACAGG
RNAcentral lists this ribosomal RNA (253 nucleotides) under uncultured bacterium. RNAcentral's name for it is "partial 16S ribosomal RNA". It matches the Rfam family "Bacterial small subunit ribosomal RNA", at positions 524 to 776 of the family's 1533-position model. The record is from RNAcentral.